RNAcentral lists this transfer RNA (67 nucleotides) under Flagellimonas oceanensis. It matches the Rfam family "tRNA", at positions 7 to 64 of the family's 71-position model. From Rfam's summary of the family: Transfer RNA (tRNA) molecules are approximately 80 nucleotides in length. Their secondary structure includes four short double-helical elements and three loops (D, anti-codon, and T loops). RNAcentral also lists the same sequence under 5 other names. Lineage: Bacteria; Pseudomonadati; Bacteroidota; Flavobacteriia; Flavobacteriales; Flavobacteriaceae. The record is from RNAcentral.
GUUGUAGCUCAGUUGGUUAGAGCGCUGGAUUGUGGUUCCAGAGGUCGCCGGUUCGAACCCGGUCUUC